GAUGAACGCUGGCGGCGUGCCUAAUACAUGCAAGUCGAGCGAACGGACGAGACGCUUGCUUCUCUGAUGUUCGCGUCGCACGGGGGAGUAAAAUGUGGGUAACCUACCUAUAAGACUGGGAUAAAUUCGGGAAACCGGAGCUAAUACCGGCUAAUCUUUUGAACCGCAUGGUUCAAAAGUGAAAGACGGUCUUGCUGUCACUUAUAGAUGGAUCCGGGUUGGAUUAGCUAGUUGGUAAGGUAACGGCUUACCAAGGCAACGAUCCAUAGCCGACCUGAGAGGAUGAUCAGCCACACUGGAACUGAGACAAGGUCCAGACUCCUACGGGAGGCAGCAGUGGGGAAUAUUGCACAAUGGGCGAAAGCCUGAUGGAGCCAAGCCGCGUGUAUGAAGAAGGCCUUCGGGUUGUAAAAUACUUUUAGUGGGGAAGAAGGGAGUAAAGAUAAAACCUUUGCUCAUUGACGGUACCCGAUCAGAAAGCCACGGCUAACUACGUG
RNAcentral lists this ribosomal RNA (497 nucleotides) under uncultured bacterium. RNAcentral describes it as "partial 16S ribosomal RNA". It matches the Rfam family "Bacterial small subunit ribosomal RNA", at positions 28 to 507 of the family's 1533-position model. The record is from RNAcentral.